UCUGGUGACGAUGGCGGAGAGGUCACACCCGUUCCCAUCCCGAACACGGAAGUUAAGCUCUCCAGCGCCGAUGGUACUUGGGACGUUGGUCCCUGGGAGAGUAGGACGUCGCCGGAU
Molecule: ribosomal RNA, 117 nt
Filed under: Heliomicrobium undosum
Lineage: Bacteria; Bacillati; Bacillota; Clostridia; Eubacteriales; Heliobacteriaceae
Source: RNAcentral